This 425-nucleotide ribosomal RNA is filed under the name Amaurobioides sp. BDO-131. RNAcentral's name for it is "partial 16S ribosomal RNA". Lineage: Eukaryota; Metazoa; Arthropoda; Arachnida; Araneae; Anyphaenidae. The record is from RNAcentral.
UAACAAAAACAUUUCUAUUAGAUUUCAUUAAUAGUAUAAUCUGCUCAAUGAUAUUAAAUAGCCGCUAUUACUGUGCUAAGGUAGCAUAAUCAUUUGUCUUUUAAUUAAAGACUAGAACAAAAGAUUGAACAUUUUAAUUAAUAUAUCCAAACUAAUUAAUUAAAUUUAUUUUAAAUGUAAAAAAACAUUUAUAAAUUAGAAAGACGAUAAGACCCUAUUAAACUUAACUUAAGUUAAACUGGGGCAGUUAAUUAAUUAUCAUUUUAAUUUAAAUACAAAAACAAAUAGAUCCUAUAAAAUAGAUUAAAUGAUCAAGUUACUAUAGGGAUAACAGCGUAAUAUUAAUUAAAAGACCUUAUUAAAAUAAAAGAUUACGACCUCGAUGUUGAAUUAAUAACCUAUAUAGUUGCAAUAAACAAUAAAGG